RNAcentral lists this unclassified non-coding RNA (432 nucleotides) under soil metagenome. Its description in RNAcentral is "partial contains 5.8S ribosomal RNA, internal transcribed spacer 2, and large subunit ribosomal RNA". The stretch from base 1 to 120 matches the Rfam family "5.8S ribosomal RNA", at positions 35 to 154 of the family's 154-position model. The record is from RNAcentral.
GAUGAAGAACGCAGCGAAAUGCGAUACGUAAUGUGAAUUGCAGAAUUCAGUGAAUCAUCGAAUCUUUGAACGCAUAUUGCGCUCUCUGGUAUUCCGGAGAGCAUGCUUGUUUGAGUAUCAGUAAACACCUCAACUUCCAUAUCUUUUUUGAAAUGGGAGUUGGACUUGAGUAAUCCCAACGCUUUUCCUCACCGAAAAGUGGCGGGUUACUUGAAAUGCAGGUGCAGCUGGACUUUUCUCUGAGCUAUAAGCAUAUCUAUUUAGUCUGCCUAAAAAACAGAUUAUUACCUUUGCUGCAGCUAACAUAAAGGAGAUUAGUUCUUGUGCUGACUGAUGCAGGAUUCACAAAGACGGCUUCGGCCGACUUUGUAAACUCGAUCUCAAAUCAAGUAAGACUACCCGCUGAACUUAAGCAUAUCAAUAAGCGGAGGA